GUAAAUAUAGUUUAAUAAAAACAUUAGAUUGUGAAUCUAACAAUAGAAGUAUGAAACUCUUAUUUACC
RNAcentral lists this transfer RNA (68 nucleotides) under Myotis macrodactylus. Its description in RNAcentral is "tRNA-His". It matches the Rfam family "tRNA". Rfam says of the family: Transfer RNA (tRNA) molecules are approximately 80 nucleotides in length. Their secondary structure includes four short double-helical elements and three loops (D, anti-codon, and T loops). Lineage: Eukaryota; Metazoa; Chordata; Mammalia; Chiroptera; Vespertilionidae. The record is from RNAcentral.